This 454-nucleotide ribosomal RNA is filed under the name uncultured Gammaproteobacteria bacterium. RNAcentral describes it as "partial 16S ribosomal RNA". Lineage: Bacteria; Pseudomonadati; Pseudomonadota; Gammaproteobacteria. The record is from RNAcentral.
AUGCGUUAGCUGUACCACUGAAUCUAAGAUCCAACGGCUAGUUCUCAUCGUUUACGGCGUGGACUACCAGGGUAUCUAAUCCUGUUUGCUACCCACGCUUUCGCACCUCAGCGUCAGUGUCGAUCCAGAGAGUUGCCUUCGCCAUUGGUAUUCCUCCUGAUAUCUACGCAUUUCACCGCUACACCAGGAAUUCUACUCUCCUCUAUCGUACUCUAGUCUAUAGGUUUUGAAUGCAGUUCCUAGGUUGAGCCCAGGGAUUUCACAUCCAACUUGACAAACCGCCUACGCGCGCUUUACGCCCAGUAAUUCCGAUUAACGCUUGGACCCUCCGUAUUACCGCGGCUGCUGGCACGGUGUUAGCCGGUCCUUAUUCUGUAAGUUAAGUCACGGAACAUAGGUAUUAACUAUAUUCUUUUCGUCCUUACCUAAAGUGCUUUACAACCCUAGAGCCUUC